UUCCGGUUGAUCCUGCCGGAGGCCAUUGCUAUUGGAGUCCGACUUAGCCAUGCUAGUCGCACGGGUUCAGACCCGUGGCGAAUAGCUCCGUAACACGUGGCCAAGCUACCCUGCAGAGCGGCAUAACCUCGGGAAACUGAGGCUAAUACCGCAUACGCGUUCAACUCUGGAAUGACAGAACGCCCAAACGCUCCGGCGCUGCAGGAUGCGGCUGCGGCCGAUUAGGUAGACGGUGGGGUAACGGCCCACCGUGCCAAUAAUCGGUACGGGUUGUGAGAGCAAGAACCCGGAGACGGAAUCUGAGACAAGAUUCCGGGCCCUACGGGGCGCAGCAGGCGCGAAACCUUUACACUGCACGCCAGUGCGAUAAGGGGACUCCAAGUGCGAGGGCAUAUCGCCCUCGCUUUUCUGAACCGUAGGGAGGUUCAGGAACAAGUGCUGGGCAAGACCGGUGCCAGCCGCCGCGGUAAUACCGGCAGCACGAGUGAUGGCCGAUCUUAUUGGGCCUAAAGCGUCCGUAGCUCGCCGCGCAAGUCCAUCGGGAAAUCCACCUGCUCAACAGGUGGGCGUCCGGUGGAAACUGCACGGCUUGAGACCGAAAGACCCAACGGGUACGUCCAGGGUAGGAGUGAAAUCCCGUAAUCCUGGACGGACCGCCGAUGGCGAAAGCACGUUGGGAAGACGGAUCUGACAGUGAGGGACGAAAGCUAGGGUCUCGAACCGGAUUAGAUACCCGGGUAGUCCUAGCUGUAAACGAUGUUCACUAGGUGUGGCACAGGCUACGAGCCUGUGCUGUGCCGUAGGGAAGCCGCUAAGUGAACCGCCUGGGAAGUACGUCUGCAAGGAUGAAACUUAAAGGAAUUGGCGGGGGAGCACUACAACCGGAGGAGCCUGCGGUUUAAUUGGACUCAACGCCGGA
Molecule: ribosomal RNA, 919 nt
Filed under: uncultured archaeon
Lineage: Archaea
Description: bacterial SSU rRNA
Rfam family: Archaeal small subunit ribosomal RNA
Source: RNAcentral